This 556-nucleotide ribosomal RNA is filed under the name Bacillus thuringiensis. RNAcentral's name for it is "partial 16S ribosomal RNA". It matches the Rfam family "Bacterial small subunit ribosomal RNA", at positions 150 to 692 of the family's 1533-position model. The record is from RNAcentral. Lineage: Bacteria; Bacillati; Bacillota; Bacilli; Caryophanales; Bacillaceae.
CGGGAAACCGGGGCUAAUACCGGAUAACAUUUUGAACCGCAUGGUUCGAAAUUGAAAGGCGGCUUCGGCUGUCACUUAUGGAUGGACCCGCGUCGCAUUAGCUAGUUGGUGAGGUAACGGCUCACCAAGGCAACGAUGCGUAGCCGACCUGAGAGGGUGAUCGGCCACACUGGGACUGAGACACGGCCCAGACUCCUACGGGAGGCAGCAGUAGGGAAUCUUCCGCAAUGGACGAAAGUCUGACGGAGCAACGCCGCGUGAGUGAUGAAGGCUUUCGGGUCGUAAAACUCUGUUGUUAGGGAAGAACAAGUGCUAGUUGAAUAAGCUGGCACCUUGACGGUACCUAACCAGANAGCCACGGCUAACUACGUGCCAGCAGCCGCGGUAAUACGUANGUGGCAAGCGUUAUCCGGAAUUAUUGGGCGUAAAGCGCGCGCAGGUGGUUUCUUAAGUCUGAUGUGAAAGCCCACGGCUCAACCGUGGANGGNCAUUNNAAACUGGGANACUUGAGUGCANAAGANGAAAGUNNNNUCCAUGUGUANCGNNGAAAUGCGUA